GGGAAUGUAGCUCAGUGCUAGAGUACUUGCCUAGUAUGCAAGAGGCUGAGUUCAAUCCCU
This 60-nucleotide transfer RNA is filed under the name Heterocephalus glaber (naked mole-rat). It matches the Rfam family "tRNA". From Rfam's summary of the family: Transfer RNA (tRNA) molecules are approximately 80 nucleotides in length. Their secondary structure includes four short double-helical elements and three loops (D, anti-codon, and T loops). Further hydrogen bonds mediate the characteristic L-shaped molecular structure. tRNAs have two regions of fundamental functional importance: the anti-codon, which is responsible for specific mRNA codon recognition, and the 3' end, to which the tRNAs corresponding amino acid is attached (by aminoacyl-tRNA synthetases). tRNAs cope with the degeneracy of the genetic code in two manners: having more than one tRNA (with a specific anti-codon) for a particular amino acid; and 'wobble' base-pairing, i.e. permitting non-standard base-pairing at the 3rd anti-codon position. The record is from Rfam by way of RNAcentral. Lineage: Eukaryota; Metazoa; Chordata; Mammalia; Rodentia; Bathyergidae.